ACGGUUAUCGAGGAGAACGCAGCUAUCUGUAUUCCAAACAUAAGCCACUCGGAUCCAGCCACUGAUCCGCCAUUUUUUCGUGGAUUCGAGCCAAGAUUCGAUUCGAGAAGGAAACUUUGGUGUUGUGGAUAUUCGAUUUCCCAGUUAUGCCUAGGAUGUGGAAAAUUAUCGACCGAAUUUGCCAUGAGAAAUCGUCGAUGACGGAAUAUUUAUUCCACCGUGGUGGCGAAACACGUGAUUAUCGAAUAUUAAGAUUAAUGAUACCAUCGGAUGUAAUCAGCAAUACCUAAAUGCCCGUCCAGUAAACGUCAUAACUAGUUAAUACUCAGCCAUGAAUAUUUGAUUAAUGCGGUUGACAAUUAAGAAGAAAAAAGAGAAAGAAGUGUUAUGUAAAUUUGUUUUAAUCAGCAGAACACUCCAAGAAGAUUAAAGAACAACUAUAUAAGAGUAAAGGACAAAAUAGAAAAUUGAACGAAGAGAAGAAUUUAACGUCGUGUAUUUUCCAUUUAUACGUUUGUUCGAUGAAGUUGAAUUUAAACUGCACGACAGAUAUAUGAUGAAAAUACGAUUUGAGAUUGUUCCGUGUGUGUUCGAAAUGGAAUAAAUAAGAAACUAGAAUUUGUUUAAAGAAUCUCUUUGCAUAAAGAUUAUUUAUUCGAUUCGAUUAAGAAUACUAUUUGUCAUAUCAAAUUAUCUUUACAAAAUAUUUAUUUUAGAGAUAACAUAUUAAAAAAAAAAAGAAAUUGAAUUGACAACCAGCAUCUGUUUCUAUUCGCAAGAUAACUAGAACUCUAAUCGUGUUUUAUUUUUAUUUAAAAUUUUUUUAUUUACACGUGUGAAAAUAUGAAUUCAUAAAUAAAUUAUAAUAUGUAAAAUUGAAACAUAAAACGUUUCCUUCCUUAUUAAUUCCAAUGAAUCUUCGAAUAUAUUUCCUUAAAAAAUUAUACAUUUAUAACAAUUACAAUUUCAAAUAAAGAAAAAAAAAAGAUAUAUUAAUCUAGAUUAAUCUUUUAUGAAUUCUCAUUCUUAUUAAGAACGAUAAAAAGAAGAGUAUUAAGAAUGAUGUGCAAAGUAAAAUAAGAUGUUUAUCCAUGUAUAUGGAAGAUCAAAUAUGAUAAAUAAACCACAAAUGGUACAAUUAGAAGUUAAUUAUUAUUUUCCAGUCUGUGCAAUUUAUUUUUCAUUUACGAACUGAUGUAACAGAAUUUCCUCUCAAUUUUUUCUCAAAGUCAUAACGAUAAUAAGCCAUCGUUUCUUUUCCGGAAAGAACAAUUUAUCUUUCUUAAAUAAAUAAAUUGUACAAGAUCAAGCAGAACAUUCAAACGGAAUAAUGGGUUUAUUUUUUUUUCGAGAAUAAAGAAAAUUAAAAGAAAAUUCAUUUUAUUAAAAAACUCGAAGAUAAAACAGAGAAAAUAAGAAUUGUAAAAUAUGUUUAUCGUCGACAUGGCGAUUGGCUGAUUGUCUACAGAUAUCGCUGAUAUAACGCCGCAGAUUUGAUAUUUACAACGAUUCUUUAGAAAUUGAAUAUUGUUGGCCGAUAAACAGUUAUUGACCCUUAAUAUCCUGAUCAAUAUCCCAUACUAUUAUUGUGCCAAUAAAAUUGUGGUUGUCAAACUGUGAAAUUAUAUUUCGAUUCAUAUUAUUUUCAAUAAUAUUGUGAAACGUGAUUCGAAAAUUUCAUCGAAAAUUUGACCACUUUAUUGCUUCAACGAUACAACAAUUCAUCUGCAGUAUCAUCUACAUUCAUUACAUGUAUACACACAUUGUGUACACACAUUGCACACGUUUAUACGUUAUACUUCAUGAACUGGCAUAUUGAGGAUAGCCAAAAACCUUGUAUAUCAAUUCGUAUUUGCAGAUAACGUUUGUAAAGAUAAACAAGGCUUACUUAUAAUACCAUAGAUGUAAGAACAUUGAAGAAAAAAGGAUAAUUAAUUUAAUCACGAAACUAGAUUAGCUAACAAAACAUCUCAUAGCAAACAAAUUUAUAAUUUAUAACGAUUCAUCCCCAAUCUUCGUAAAUAUAAUUCAAUUCGAGCAUAAUUUAAUUGCAUAGAAGUUUCAUUAAUAUAAUUGCAAAUGUAACUAGGAAUAACACGAGGAUUGCGUGUGAUCGAGUCUCAUGUUCAGGAACUUUGGCGAAAUAAAUUUUCAACGGCGUUUGAAUUAGAAUUUCAGAUGAACAAUCACACAGGAAUAUGCAACGGAACAACGGGAAGAAAAGUUUUACUACACCAAGACCAACAAAUGUGACGUCCUUUCCGCGAAACGGCUGUACAUACCUUGCAGACAAGUGAAAUGUCAUACAUAGUGAAUCGCGUGCAAGAGGCAUUAUGUAAAUAUCGGCUCGAGAAGAAUGAUGCACUCGAUUCACUUUGCUUUCUCAAUCUUUUUAUCUAUUCCCUUUCGAUCGAGGAUUUCUUCACGAGGAACGUUGUAAUCUCGUCAAACAUUUGCGUAAACGUAUUUCGUCUCUAGAUUUUUCUCGAUAAUUCUCGAAAUUCUUGAUACAGAAUCAAUGAAUUGGUGAUGUAAGAUCUAACGAUAAAUUCAUAAUACAAUUUAAUUGCAAGAAUACAAUAUAUUUUUUUCAGUAGCGAUUAAGUGAUGAGACUGAGAAUAAAUAUUUGAACAUUAUUUUCUAUUGCUGACAAUUUGAGAACAAAUUUUUAUUCCCUCGUAUAUUUUCAUUUUCAUUUUUUUCUUUUUUUGAGAAAAUAAUAAAUUAUUUAUGUAUUCAAUUUAUGAAUAAUUCUGUGAAAUUAUUCAGUCGAAACAAAAUAUGGAAUUCUAUUUGAAUCACGAAGUUAGUUUAUAAAUUCGAAAAUCGUGAUACAUUUCAAAGAUUAUUAUCAUCUGCCUAACUUCGACAAGAAGAUAUAUUUUUCUCGAAUUAAUAUUUAUUUAUUCACAUCACAGUUCGAGAAAGUUUAUUGCAUGGAAAGAGAAACAGUAGUUUUUCCUUGAAUUUGCUUUUGCAACAAAGUUGCUAAGCUGUCUCAAUUCGCACAAAUACGAAUUUCCAAGCAUCCACUCUUUCUUAUUCCGAGUGAUAUAACGAGUCUACGUUCCAUUUCGAUAGAAUAGUUAUCGAUUUUUUGAAUCGAAUUCUUUCUUGUAGAAAGCGCGUCUCUGGAAAAAAAAAAGCACUGGUCGAAGUCUCAAAGCCAACAGUGAACGUUCAGAUUCAGAGAAGCGACAGGACAACGAAGUUUAAAUAGCUUGACGAAAUUCAAAAUUCAAAAUCCCCCCUCUGUCCAAACGUUCGAACUUUUCAAGUUGAAAAUGGAAAAGCUUUAAACUUCUUCAACUUAAACAUCUGAGAAAUCGCACGAGGCUCGAUAUACAAUAAUAAUGGACCCAUGAGGAACGACAUUGUAACCUAUCAUUCUAAACGACCAAUCAUCCUGUCACGUUUUUACCCCAUGAGAAAUGCAUCGAGAUUUCGAGAAAAUCGCAGGAACAGAACAUUGGGUAGUUCUUUUAUUCGCAUAAAAUUUCUGGCAAAAACUAUAUAUUGUCACAAUGGGAUGCUUUUAACAAAUCGUCCGAAAAGUUGCAUUUUCGGAUUCGUGGCAUUAAUCUUCAACUACAAACUUGCGUGCACGAGGAAAAAUUAGGAAAAUUCUGAUUUCCUUGUGUGAAAUAAAUGCACCAUCGUUUUAAAUUCGUUGGAAACGGGUCAAGAUCGAGGUAGUAUGCAUGAAUCGAACAAUUAAACAACUGAGCAGCAGUGUUUGUUUGCAAAUAAUUCAGAAAUAGAAUUUAGAAUAGGAAUCUUUUCAAGAAAAAUUUUCACUGCAACAACGAAUCGUUUAAAUCUUCGUUGACAUAGAACAUUUGGAAAAAGUUAAGCAAAAACGGUGUGCAACACGAUUUGAACAAUGAAACAUCAAGCAAGGACGCGAGAUUUCCAUACAUUUUAAAUAAUUCCCACAUCUCGGCUUUUGCAGCAAGAUGAUUUUACAUUCAAAUCUUCAAGCCACACGCAAAUCACGAAAAAAUAUUUUACCGAGAUUCCAAGUUGGAGCUUCGUCCAAUUUCUAGCUCACGUCUCCUUGUUUUCCUGGACGACAUUAAAAAAAUAUUUCGUCGUUGCACGACGAAAGACGGGGACAAUUUGUUUGGAUCUACUCCCACGGUGUUCUGAAUCAAGAUAUUCCACGAACCUCGUUCCACUUUUUCCCUCUUCUUUUCCUUGAAAUCGGCCAUUCUUUCUUGGUACCUUUUGUUUCAUAUCUUAGAAAUCUAGUGCAUUUUUAGAGUAACA
Molecule: long non-coding RNA, 4270 nt
Filed under: Apis mellifera (honey bee)
Lineage: Eukaryota; Metazoa; Arthropoda; Insecta; Hymenoptera; Apidae
Description: uncharacterized LOC102655167, transcript variant X2
Source: RNAcentral